This 74-nucleotide transfer RNA is filed under the name Phrynosoma platyrhinos (Desert horned lizard). RNAcentral's name for it is "tRNA-OTHER". Lineage: Eukaryota; Metazoa; Chordata; Lepidosauria; Squamata; Phrynosomatidae. The record is from RNAcentral.
CACACAGUGUGCUGUAGUGGUUAGAGCACUGGACUAUAACUCUUGAGACCAGGGUUCAAACCUCUGCUUGGCCG